Molecule: ribosomal RNA, 253 nt
Filed under: uncultured bacterium
Lineage: Bacteria
Description: partial 16S ribosomal RNA
Rfam family: Bacterial small subunit ribosomal RNA
Source: RNAcentral
UACAGAGGGUGCGAGCGUUAAUCGGAAUUACUGGGCGUAAAGCGCACGUAGGUGGCUUUGCAAGUCGAUUGUGAAAUCCCCGGGCUUAACCUGGGAACUGCAGUCGAGACUGCUUUGCUUGAGUAUGGGAGAGGGAGGUGGAAUUUCCGGUGUAGCGGUGAAAUGCGUAGAUAUCAGGAGGAACACCGGUGGCGAAGGCGGCUUUCUGGACAGAUACCGACGCUGAGGCACGAAAGUGCGGGGAUCAAACAGG